ACGGAAGGCAGCAGUAAGGAAUAUUGGGCAAUGGGCGCAAGCCUGACCCAGCAAUGCCGCGUGAAGGAUGAAGGUUUUCGGAUUGUAAACUUCUUUUAUACAGGACGAAUGAAUGACGGUACUGUAUGAAUAAGCCCCGGCUAACUACGUGCCAGCAGCCGCGGUAAUACGUAGGGGGCAAGCGUUGUUCGGAAUGACUGGGCGUAAAGGGUGAGUAGGCUGUUGAUUAAGUUGGAAGUGUAAUACCUGAGCCUAACUUGGGUGCUGCUUCCAAAACUGUUCAACUGGAGUGCAGGAGAGGUUAGCGGAAUUCCUAGUGUAGCGGUGGAAUGCGUAGAUAUUAGGAAGAACAUCAGAAGCGAAGGCGGCUAACUGGACUGUAACUGACGCUGAGUCACGAAAGCGUGGGGAUCAAACAGGAUUAGAUACCCUGGUA
The sequence is a ribosomal RNA, 436 nucleotides long. It matches the Rfam family "Bacterial small subunit ribosomal RNA", at positions 341 to 792 of the family's 1533-position model.